GGGCGCAUAGCUCAGUCUGGUUUAGAGCGUUUGCUUGACAUGCAAAAGGUCAGAGGUUCAAAUCCUCUUGCGCCCA
RNAcentral lists this transfer RNA (76 nucleotides) under Candidatus Omnitrophota bacterium. Its description in RNAcentral is "tRNA-Val". It matches the Rfam family "tRNA". Rfam says of the family: Transfer RNA (tRNA) molecules are approximately 80 nucleotides in length. The record is from RNAcentral. Lineage: Bacteria; Pseudomonadati; Candidatus Omnitrophota.